Molecule: transfer RNA, 71 nt
Filed under: Marmota monax (woodchuck)
Lineage: Eukaryota; Metazoa; Chordata; Mammalia; Rodentia; Sciuridae
Description: tRNA.Ala
Rfam family: tRNA
About the family: Transfer RNA (tRNA) molecules are approximately 80 nucleotides in length. Their secondary structure includes four short double-helical elements and three loops (D, anti-codon, and T loops). Further hydrogen bonds mediate the characteristic L-shaped molecular structure. tRNAs have two regions of fundamental functional importance: the anti-codon, which is responsible for specific mRNA codon recognition, and the 3' end, to which the tRNAs corresponding amino acid is attached (by aminoacyl-tRNA synthetases). tRNAs cope with the degeneracy of the genetic code in two manners: having more than one tRNA (with a specific anti-codon) for a particular amino acid; and 'wobble' base-pairing, i.e. permitting non-standard base-pairing at the 3rd anti-codon position.
Source: RNAcentral
GGGGUUGUGGCUCAGAGGUAGAGCACUCACCUAGCAUGUGCAAGGCCCUGGGUUCGAUCCUCAGCACCACA